RNAcentral lists this ribosomal RNA (497 nucleotides) under uncultured bacterium. RNAcentral's name for it is "partial 16S ribosomal RNA". It matches the Rfam family "Bacterial small subunit ribosomal RNA", at positions 28 to 507 of the family's 1533-position model. The record is from RNAcentral.
GACGAACGCUGGCGGCGUGCCUAAUACAUGCAAGUUGAGCGCUGAAGGUUGGUACUUGUACCAACUGGAUGAGCAGCGAACGGGUGAGUAACGCGUGGGGAAUCUGCCUUUGAGCGGGGGACAACAUCUGGAAACGAAUGCUAAUACCGCAUAAAAACUUUAAACACAAGUUUUAAGUUUGAAAGAUGCAAUUGCAUCACUCAAAGAUGAUCCCGCGUUGUAUUAGCUAGUUGGUGAGGUAAAGGCUCACCAAGGCGAUGAUACAUAGCCGGCCUGAGAGGGUGAACGGCCACAUUGGGACUGAGACACGGCCCAAACCCCUAAGGGAGGCAGCAGUAGGGAAUCUUUGGCAAUGGGGGAAAGUCUGAACGAGCAACGCCGCGUGAGGGAAGAAGGUUUUCGGAUCGUAAAACUCUGUUGGUAGAGAAGAAAGUUGGUGAGAGUGGAAAGCUCAUCAAGUGACGGUAACUACACAGAAAGGGACGGCUAACUACGUG